GAAGUGCGACAAGUGUCAUGACUUGCAGAUUCCCGAGAGCUGACAAAUUUCUGAAUGCAAAUGGCGGCCAUUAACACCGGCCAUGUAUUGCAGAGUGUAGUUGUUCCUACCCAUCAUCCCACUCAACAAGGCUGGCUUGUUGGGCACGGGGAACUGCGCUUGCGAUGCGAAUGCGCGCGCGAGCGUGAAAAAGUGGAGCGUCGCGUCAAUCAGUUCGCUCUGACUUGACGCGACGACUUCGGAAGCCUCAAGACUUCUUGGAGUUAAGCUCCCGAACCAUUCUCGACAGCCACCUCUGCGAUGCAGGAGAACCCGCUGAACUUAA
This 325-nucleotide unclassified non-coding RNA is filed under the name uncultured fungus. Its description in RNAcentral is "sequence contains ITS1". The stretch from base 1 to 100 matches the Rfam family "5.8S ribosomal RNA", at positions 50 to 154 of the family's 154-position model. The record is from RNAcentral. Lineage: Eukaryota; Fungi.